CCCGAUUCCCAAAAAGAUGUUCGUCGUCGUGCGAAGAUUAGUGCGCAAAAAUCCGCAAAACACAAAACUGCGUAUAGAGAUUGUGUUACCUAGGGAGAUCGUAUAUCCCUGUUUCCUUGCAGAUCCUUAGGAGAGGGUGAAGGAGGUCAAGCGUCCUCCUCUCUAGCGGUGAUCCACAUAGCAGGGUUGCGACGACACUCCUCAAAACUCCAGGCCUACUCUGAGGUGGAGAGGGAGAGGAGAAUAGGAAAGGCAAGCAAAGACUCUAGCCUAUGAGGCUGUGAAUCCCUC
This 291-nucleotide long non-coding RNA is filed under the name Musa acuminata (dwarf banana). RNAcentral's name for it is "long non-coding RNA (MACU_LNC001298)". Lineage: Eukaryota; Viridiplantae; Streptophyta; Magnoliopsida; Zingiberales; Musaceae. The record is from RNAcentral.